CUUUCCCUUCUCAUUUUUUUAUUAGAAGACAUUAUAAAAGAAAAAGAGGAAAGAUCAAUUUAAUCUCAAUGAAACUUGGAAGUCGGCCCCAGGCUUCAAAUAACUAAACUUCAUUUAAAUUAAGAGAACGAAAACGAAAGCGGAAAAUGCAGUUAGGGCAACAGUAUCGUACAAGAUAUUUCAAUGAAAUAACAUACUGCGAUUCGAAUCAAAACUUAUAAUCUAAAUAGAGUUUAAAAUUUGUGUAUUACCUAUUUUUUCUUAAUUUUCUUAGUUAUUACUAAUUACUAUAUUUUAGAAGAUUUCUAUUUAUUUUGAUUGCAACAAAAUCUUUCAGAAUUUGAUUUCAAGUUAGUAAUUUCUAGUUUUUUUCUUUCUUAUUCACUUUGGGUCGGAAAAUAGAAAAGUGGAAACUCAAAAGGAGGUUCAUGGCCAAAGGUAAAGGUG
Molecule: long non-coding RNA, 447 nt
Filed under: Linum usitatissimum (flax)
Lineage: Eukaryota; Viridiplantae; Streptophyta; Magnoliopsida; Malpighiales; Linaceae
Description: long non-coding RNA (LUSI_LNC004453)
Source: RNAcentral